Molecule: ribosomal RNA, 498 nt
Filed under: uncultured bacterium
Lineage: Bacteria
Description: bacterial SSU rRNA
Rfam family: Bacterial small subunit ribosomal RNA
Source: RNAcentral
GACGAACGCUGGCGGCGUGCCUAACACAUGCAAGUCGAGCGGAGAUACAUUGAAGAUUUAUCGGAUAUGUAUCUUAGCGGCGGACGGGUGAGUAACGCGUGGGUAACCUGCCUUAUACAGGGGGAUAACACAGGGAAACUUGUGCUAAUACCGCAUAAUAUCAUUGUAUGGCAUCAUAUGGUGAUCAAAGGAGCAAUCCGGUAUAAGAUGGACCCGCGUCCAAUUAGCUAGUUGGUGGUGUAACGGACCACCAAGGCGACGAUUGGUAGCCGAACUGAGAGGUUGAUCGGCCACAUUGGGACUGAGACACGGCCCAGACUCCUACGGGAGGCAGCAGUGGGGAAUAUUGCACAAUGGGGGAAACCCUGUAUGCAGCAACGCCGCGUGAAGGAUGAAGGUUUUCGGAUCGUAAACUUCUUUGAUGAGGGACGAAUAAUGACGGUACCUCAAGAACAAGCCACGGCUAACUACGUGCCAGCAGCCGCGGUAAAAGUCACG